GACGGGUGGAGUAAUGUCUGGGAAACUGCCUGAUGGAGGGGGAGUAACUACUGGAAACGGUAGCUAAUACCGCAUAACGUCGCAAGACCAAAGAGGGGGACCUUCGGGCCUCUUGCCAUCGGAUGUGCCCAGAUGGGAUUAGCUAGUAGGUGGGGUAACGGCUCACCUAGGCGACGAUCCCUAGCUGGUCUGAGAGGAUGACCAGCCACACUGGAACUGAGACACGGUCCAGACUCCUACGGGAGGCAGCAUG
RNAcentral lists this ribosomal RNA (253 nucleotides) under uncultured bacterium. RNAcentral describes it as "partial 16S ribosomal RNA". It matches the Rfam family "Bacterial small subunit ribosomal RNA", at positions 100 to 353 of the family's 1533-position model. The record is from RNAcentral.